Molecule: ribosomal RNA, 420 nt
Filed under: Lestrimelitta limao
Lineage: Eukaryota; Metazoa; Arthropoda; Insecta; Hymenoptera; Apidae
Description: partial 16S large subunit ribosomal RNA
Source: RNAcentral
UUAAAUGGCUGCAGUAUAUCUGACUGUACAAAGGUAGCAUAAUAAAUUGGUUUUUAAAUGAAAUCUAGAAUGAAAGGAUUAAUGAAAUAUAUACUGUCUCAUAUUUAUUUAAUGAAUUUAAAAUUUUAAUAAAAAUGUUAAAAUUUUUUUAUGGGACGAUAAGACCCUAUAGAAUUUUAUAUUAAUUUAAUUUUAUAUAAUAAUUAUAAAAUUUAAUUUAAUAUUUAGUUGGGAGAAUUAUUAAAUUUAAUAAAUUUUAAUUAAUAUAAACUUAGAUUAAAGGAAAUUUUUUGAUUUUUAAUUUAAAAUUAUUAGAUUAAAUUACCUUAGGGAUAACAGCGUAAUAUUUUUUUAUAGAUCUUAUAGAAAAAAAUGAUUGCGACCUCGAUGUUGAAUUAAGAUAAAUUUUAAACGCAGAAG